Sphaerodactylus townsendi is the source of this 127-nucleotide long non-coding RNA. RefSeq lists it as uncharacterized. The record is from RefSeq and is a predicted model, not a curated record. The transcript has 3 exons. NCBI's taxonomy places the organism in Eukaryota, Metazoa, Chordata, Lepidosauria, Squamata, Sphaerodactylidae.
AAGCCUGGUGGGUGGCUUGGGCCGGUCACAGUUUUCUCAGAACUCAUCUCUGCCCCACCUACCUCACAAGGUGUCUGUUGUGGGGAGAGGAAGGGAAAGUCGUUUGUAAGCCACCUUGAGUCUCCUU